RNAcentral lists this non-coding RNA (27 nucleotides) under Cricetulus griseus (Chinese hamster). The record is from RNAcentral. Lineage: Eukaryota; Metazoa; Chordata; Mammalia; Rodentia; Cricetidae.
AGAAACAAACAUUGUUCUGUCGGAGGA